CUUCAAGAGAUUCAACUGUCAAGCUCCGACUUUGGUUGAACGCCAACCCCAUGUUCACGGGUGGCUCGGAUGACGAAGCGGUCUGCAUCGCGCCUUUUUGGCGCUGUUGGGUGCAGGCAAGAGCAAGUA
This 129-nucleotide non-coding RNA is filed under the name Rothia nasimurium. Its description in RNAcentral is "SAM-IV sequence". It matches the Rfam family "SAM (S-adenosyl methionine) riboswitch aptamer". Rfam says of the family: SAM-IV is a mRNA element that regulates gene expression via direct sensing of S-adenosylmethionine (SAM or AdoMet). SAM-IV riboswitches share conserved nucleotide positions with the previously described SAM-I riboswitches sequence analysis and molecular recognition experiments suggest that SAM-I and SAM-IV riboswitches share similar ligand binding sites, but have different scaffolds. The record is from Rfam by way of RNAcentral. Lineage: Bacteria; Bacillati; Actinomycetota; Actinomycetes; Micrococcales; Micrococcaceae.